AGAAUCAACGCUGGCGGCGUGCCUAACACAUGCAAGUCGCACGAGAAAGGGACUUCGGUCCUGAGUAAAGUGGCGCACGGGUGAGUAACACGUGAAUAAUCUACCUCCGAGUGGGGAAUAACUGAGAGAAAUCUUAGCUAAUACCGCAUAAUACCCACGGGUCAAAGCAGCAAUGCGCUUGGAGAGGAGUUCGCGGCCGAUUAGCUAGUUGGCGGGGUAAUGGCCCACCAAGGCGAUGAUCUGUA
Molecule: ribosomal RNA, 245 nt
Filed under: uncultured bacterium
Lineage: Bacteria
Description: partial small subunit ribosomal RNA
Rfam family: Bacterial small subunit ribosomal RNA
Source: RNAcentral